This is a non-coding RNA of Oryza sativa Japonica Group (Japanese rice), 2018 nucleotides long. NCBI's taxonomy places the organism in Eukaryota, Viridiplantae, Streptophyta, Magnoliopsida, Poales, Poaceae. The record is from RefSeq and is a predicted model, not a curated record.
GAGAAACACACAUCCAUCCAUUGACGAGCAACCCUUCAUCCGCAUUCAUUCAUAGCAAUAUUCACACACAUUCCUCACACAUUCAACGACACAGCCAUCGAGCAAUUCACUCACCAUCAACACACACAUAUGCAGAGAUCGAUAUCAAAAGCAGCUCUUCUAUUCCUCAUCUGAUCGAUUUGCACAAGCGGCGCAGACGCAGCCUCAUCGGAGUAGCCAGGCGGGACCAGCUCGACGGGAGGAGACCUCACCGACAACAAGAGGCAGCAUCAGAUCAUGGGCAUCAACAACCUCUGUACCAUGGGAGGCAAGCCGCCGUUUUUCUACGUCGUCAUGACCGGCCGAAUGACCUCGUCGCGCUACCUCGCCGGAGCAUGUUGUCACGGCAUCGUGAAUGUCGUCGAGUCGUGCCCGACUGAGGAGGUCUCGUCGGAGUCGUCGGAAACGUCGCCAAGUCUCCCGCGUCUACAUCAACCAAACACAUCAUUGGGCGAUGGAGAUUGUCGCACUGCCCUCGGAGCCAUGGUGCUGCCCUCGUCGGAGUCGCCGUGCCAAUCAUCUGAUCGACAUCAUCCAGUCGAGUCGCUGGUGAUGACACUACUCGUUGCUGUGAUCUCAUCGCCGACGUCCGCCGGCCAUCUUCGGUGGUGUUACCAUCUUCCUCACACUCGUCGUUGAGCCGCGUGACGAGAAUGCCAAUCGAAGCGCCGCUAGCUGCUCGGUGCCCGCAUCGUCACGCUGGGGUUGCUAAGCCGUUCGUGAUGCUGUGAAGCCAUCCCUUCAUCACACCGGAGCACCAUCGCUUGGUGCCCGCACACCGUCGUCAAGUUCAUCUGCGAUGCUUUCACCUCGUCAAGCCAGAGUCAUCGUGCCGUCCGUCCGUGUCUCCUUUUAUCUAUAGUAACAUGAUGAGAUGCCAUCUGUCUACAACGCUUCCACUUCGUCAUGGCGAGAUCGAUGCUGUCCGUCCAUGAUGCACUCUCUCUUCAUCACGCCAAGAUGAGAUGUUGUCCGUCCGUGAUUCUCUCCCUCUUCAUCGAGAUCAAUAUGCCGCCGCUUGUUUGUGUAUUGGAGCGUCGCUCGUCUAUAUCAACAUGAAGAAAGAAUAGUGCCGUCUGUGAUGCCAAUGUACCGUUCGUGUUAGAUCUACACCAACCAAUGUCCUCGGCUAUUCCGCCGAUGAGGCAUUUACUUCUUCCAAGGUCGCCGUUACUAUCGGCACACUCAUAGAGCCCCUUUUGCAGGCUCGUCAUCAUAUCAACCGGAUCAAUAGUAGAUUCAUCAUCCGAAGGAGGUGCCAAAGCCACGUUUGUUCGGUUAUUGUCUGCACCAACUUCUUCAUCAACAUCUUCGUUACAAGUCCCUGUUGUAUAAGGGACAUGACGAGUCAGGAGGUGCUUAGCCAUGGAUAUCCGGCUGCCAUCUACACCAACUGUCAUCGUCAACUCUUUGUUACUUUGAUCCCAUCAAGUCAGGAGGUGCCCAGCCAUGGAUAUUCGGCUGUUGUGUACACCAACUGACUUGACCAACUCCUCUUCCCUUUAACACCAUCCUGAUGUCGUUGCUGAUCCAAGCGACACGAGAUCUAUGCAUGUUGAAGAUCAAUCCAUCUACUCCACCACGUUGCUCAAGACUGAUGAGGCGGAGCGACGAGGGUGGGCGGAGCCUAUAUGAAGGCUACAUCACCAACACCGGCGCACGGACCGAUGAGGCCGCGGAUGCGUUGCCGGCGCCUAGAUAUAUAUCCACAAUCUUCACCAACAUUCAUCGUGCAUGGAGAACGUGAAGCGAAGACGACGAGACGACCACAUGCAGCUUAAUCGGAGGUGCUCUGUAGGCCUAAACCUGUGGCAGUAAUUAACUAGGAGUCUUUCGAGACCCCAGGAAUUAGAAGACCACUUAUCCAAGUUUAGAUUUGUCCAACGACAGGCUAUGGAGCGCACAUACAUAUAUACAUAUAUAUUACAUUGGGAAUUUGUAUUUAUGAUCCUUGAGAUUAAUAAAGCACAUGUUCCCUA